CCCUUAGAUGUUCUGGGCUGCACGCGCGCUACACUGAAGCGUUCAACGAGUUUCUUCCUGGUCCGAGAGGAAUGGGUAACCUUUUGAAAAUGCAUCGUGAUAGGGAUAGACUAUUGCAAUUAUUGGUCUUCAACGAGGAAUUCCUAGUAGACGUAGUUCAUCAGACUGCAUCGAUUACGUCCCUGCCCUUUGUACACACCGCCCGUCGCUCCUACCGAUUGAAUGCUCAGGUGAGCCAUUCGGACUUUCAUCAUGCUGGUUUCCAGUUUUGAUGAAGGAAAGUCUUGCGAACCUUAUCAUUUAGAGGAAGGAGAAGUCGUAACA
RNAcentral lists this ribosomal RNA (324 nucleotides) under uncultured eukaryote. RNAcentral's name for it is "partial 18S ribosomal RNA". It matches the Rfam family "Eukaryotic small subunit ribosomal RNA", at positions 1470 to 1796 of the family's 1831-position model. The record is from RNAcentral.